UCUUAGUGAUUUAUUAGUAUUUGCUUCUAUCUGAGGGUAGUUUCUAUUCUCUUAUGCCCCAGUUCCAUUCCUGUUAGCCCGGUUUCUGUCCUUAGAGUCACUAAUGGAAUUCCAAGUUGAGAGUUGUUCUCUUAUUAGUAUAGUAGUCGGCGCGUUAAGAGCUAUAGUAUUGUUAUCACCAGUUAGAUUCUAUUCCUGUAUGCAAUAGAUCGUACUACCAAUAUAAGUAAAUAACAUAUUCUCAAUAUAAGUAAAUAAGCAGCAAUAGCAAUAAAGAAAGGAAUAAGAGACAUGGCAGUGAAAGUAAAGGGAGGCGGAGUGAAACUGGAGAAUCCAGAGGAGAAGUAAGAGUUCGGUGACCCAGCUACAAGUCGAGUUGGUGCUCUAAGAAUCAAAGGUAUAGCUGAUGGUCCGUUAGUCGAUACAGAUAACUAGGUUAGUUUGGGUAGUGACUACUGUAAUACGUAGGCUAGGGAGCAAAGGAAAGUCAGGCUUAUAUUGGCAAUAAGUAAUUCAAGUUAGGGGCAUAGCUAGGGGGAAUAGACGGAAUUGCUGGAUAGUAAGAGUGAUAACCAGUAAGGGCAAACCUAGAACGGAG
RNAcentral lists this long non-coding RNA (598 nucleotides) under Musa acuminata (dwarf banana). Its description in RNAcentral is "long non-coding RNA (MACU_LNC007404)". The record is from RNAcentral. Lineage: Eukaryota; Viridiplantae; Streptophyta; Magnoliopsida; Zingiberales; Musaceae.